This 736-nucleotide long non-coding RNA is filed under the name Sorghum bicolor (sorghum). RNAcentral's name for it is "long non-coding RNA (SBIC_LNC011143)". The record is from RNAcentral. Lineage: Eukaryota; Viridiplantae; Streptophyta; Magnoliopsida; Poales; Poaceae.
GGCUACCCGACGCCGACGCCGAAGCCGCCGGCCAAGGGGCCCAAGCCGGAGAAGCCCCCGACCAAGGGCCACGGCCACAAGCCGGAGAAGCCGCCCAAGGAGCACAAGCCGACUCCGCCCACCUACACCCCGAGCCCCAAGCCCACGCCGCCGCCGGCUACUCCCAAGCCGACGCCGCCCACCUACACGCCGAGCCCUAAGCCCAAGUCGCCGGUCUACCCUCCCCCGCCGAAAGCCAGUACUCCUCCGACCUACACCCCGAGCCCCAAGCCUCCGGCGACCAAGCCGCCUACCUACCCGACCCCCAAGCCACCAGCUACCAAGCCUCCGACACCUCCUGUGUACACUCCGAGCCCCAAACCACCGGUUACAAAGCCUCCUACACCCAAGCCGACCCCGCCGGUGUACACGCCGAACCCCAAGCCACCGGUUACCAAGCCUCCGACACACACGCCGAGCCCCAAGCCUCCGACAUCCAAGCCGACUCCGCCGGUGUACACACCGAGCCCCAAGCCACCGAAGCCGUCCCCGCCGACGUACACGCCGACCCCGAAGCCACCGGCUACCAAGCCGCCCACCUCAACUCCGACGCACCCUAAGCCGACGCCGCACACGCCUAUCCCCAAGCCCACGCCGCCAACCUACAAGCCGGCACCGAAGCCGACGCCGCCGGCGCCCACCCCGCCGACAUACACGCCGCCGGUGUCGCACACCCCCAGCUCGCCGCCGCCGCCGC